GAAUAUUGGACAAUGGGUGAGAGCCUGAUCCAGCCAUCCCGCGUGCAGGAAGACGGCCCUAUGGGUUGUAAACUGCUUUUAUACAGGAAUAAACCACCUUACGUGUAGGGUGUUGAAGGUACUGUAUGAAUAAGCACCGGCUAACUCCGUGCCAGCAGCCGCGGUAAUACGGAGGGUGCAAGCGUUAUCCGGAUUUAUUGGGUUUAAAGGGUCCGCAGGCGGACCUGUAAGUCAGGGGUGAAAGCCGGCAGCUUAACUGUCGAACUGCCUUUGAAACUGCAGGUCUUGAGUGAAAUUGAAGUAGCUGGAAUGAGUAGUGUAGCGGUGAAAUGCAUAGAUAUUACUCAGAACACCAAUAGCGAAGGCAGGUUACUAAAUUUCAACUGACGCUGAGGGACGAAAGCGUGGGGAGCGAACAG
RNAcentral lists this ribosomal RNA (419 nucleotides) under uncultured bacterium. RNAcentral's name for it is "bacterial SSU rRNA". It matches the Rfam family "Bacterial small subunit ribosomal RNA", at positions 359 to 775 of the family's 1533-position model. The record is from RNAcentral.